Molecule: long non-coding RNA, 802 nt
Filed under: Catharus ustulatus (Swainson's thrush)
Lineage: Eukaryota; Metazoa; Chordata; Aves; Passeriformes; Turdidae
Description: lncRNA (ENSCUSG00005001877.1)
Source: RNAcentral
GGCGGAGCCGCGCUGGGGCGGCCCGGGAGCUCCCGGUGCCCGGCCCGAGCCCUCCCGGCCCCGGGGGAUCCCGGCUGGGCGCCGGGACACGGCAGCGCCGGGACAGGGCAGCGCCGGUCCCCGCCGCGGUCUCGCCGCUCGGGAUGGCCGCUGUGAAGAGUCCGGCCGGGCAGCAGAGAGGAGCGGGCAGCGCCGCUGAGUCCCGGCUGCUGCUUUAAAGCCCGGGCAAAGUGAACAGAGAGUGUUGCAGGCGGUUUAAUAAAAUAAAAGCGCCCGCUGGGUGCUACUGGAAAAGAGCUCAACUCCCUUCCUUAAAAAAAUCGUCAUGUUCGACUCUCGCCAGCUCCUGGCCAAAAGGGAGCGGAGGAAUUGUAAACCGGGAGAAGCAGCAGGAGCAAAACGUUUCAUUAAAAAGCAAAAGGAAUAAUGCGAAAGAGCGGUUAUGUUGAUCGACUCAUCUGUGCUGUGCCACGGAAGGCAGGUCCCUUGCUGGAAAAAAGCGGAGUUUAACUCUCAGAGCCCCUUGGGAUCAGUGCCCUCAGCAGACAAGCCAGACUGAUCUGCCUAGAAGCUGGAAUGCCAAGGCACAGCAGGAGAAGGUGAAAUGACCUGUGUAUUUUCGAUACAGAGGUUUAUGCUGAGUACAGUGCACAUGAAAGAACACCAUCCCAAAAAAAGAAAUGCUUUCGUGACUAAAGAGCUGUCUGAGAUCCACUGGCAUUGCUCUAAUAAGAGAGGACUGGCUUACAGCAAAACGUCCUUGAUUUUUGGAUUCCAGAAGUCAAAGUGUUAUGCCUCAUAG